CACAACGUACCUUUAACUGGGGGAUAGCAUUUGGAAACGAGUGGUAAUACCGCAUGUGGUUGUAGGGAGGCAUCUUUUGCAACUAAACUCAGGUGGUUAAAGAUCGGUGUGCGUCCGAUUAGCUUGUUGGUGAGGUAAUGGCGUCACCAAGGCGACGAUCGGUAGGGGCGUGAGAGCGUGAACCCCCACACGGGUACUGAGACACGGACCCGACUCCUACGGGAGGCAGCAGUAAGGAAUAUUGGUCAAUGGAGGCAACUCUGAACCAGCCAUGCCGCGUGAAGGAAGAAGGCGCUAUGCGUUGUAAACUUCUUUUGGGUGGGAAGAAAAUGGUCAAUUUAUUGGCAACUGACGGUACCAUCAGAAUAAGCACCGGCUAACUCCGUG
Molecule: ribosomal RNA, 387 nt
Filed under: uncultured bacterium
Lineage: Bacteria
Description: bacterial SSU rRNA
Rfam family: Bacterial small subunit ribosomal RNA
Source: RNAcentral